UACGGAGGGGGCCAGCGUUGUUCGGAAUUAUUGGGCGUAAAGGGCGCGUAGGCGGUUAUGCAAGUCGGUUGUGAAAUCCCCUGGCUUACCCAGGGAACUGCUUCCGAUACUGCAUGACUUGAGUCCGGGAGAGGAGAGUGGAAUUCCCAGUGUAGCGGUGGAAUGCGUAGAUAUUGGGAGGAACACCGGUGGCGAAGGCGGCUCUCUGGACCGGUACUGACGCUGAGGCGCGAAAGCCAGGGGAGCAAACAGG
Molecule: ribosomal RNA, 253 nt
Filed under: uncultured bacterium
Lineage: Bacteria
Description: partial 16S ribosomal RNA
Rfam family: Bacterial small subunit ribosomal RNA
Source: RNAcentral